This 72-nucleotide ribosomal RNA is filed under the name Escherichia coli. RNAcentral describes it as "partial 16S ribosomal RNA". It matches the Rfam family "Bacterial small subunit ribosomal RNA", at positions 1 to 70 of the family's 1533-position model. RNAcentral also lists the same sequence under 1 other name. The record is from RNAcentral. Lineage: Bacteria; Pseudomonadati; Pseudomonadota; Gammaproteobacteria; Enterobacterales; Enterobacteriaceae.
UUAAAUUGAAGAGUUUGAUCAUGGCUCAGAUUGAACGCUGGCGGUAGGCCUAACACAUGCAAGUCGAACGGU